Molecule: ribosomal RNA, 645 nt
Filed under: uncultured bacterium
Lineage: Bacteria
Description: bacterial SSU rRNA
Rfam family: Bacterial small subunit ribosomal RNA
Source: RNAcentral
GAGUUUGAUCAUGGCUCAGAACGAACGCUGGCGGCAUGCCUAACACAUGCAAGUCGAACGAACCCUUCGGGGUUAGUGGCGCACGGGUGCGUAACGCGUGGGGAUCUGCCCUUUGCUUCGGAAUAACAGUUAGAAAUGACUGCUAAUACCGGAUGAUGUCGCAAGACCAAAGAUUUAUCGGCAAAGGAUGAACCCGCGUAGGAUUAGCUAGUUGGUGGGGUAAAGGCCUACCAAGGCGACGAUCCUUAGCUGGUCUGAGAGGAUGAUCAGCCACACUGGGACUGAGACACGGCCCAGACUCCUACGGGAGGCAGCAGUGGGGAAUAUUGGACAAUGGGCGAAAGCCUGAUCCAGCAAUGCCGCGUGAGUGAUGAAGGCCUUAGGGUUGUAAAGCUCUUUUACCAGGGAUGAUAAUGACAGUACCUGGAGAAUAAGCUCCGGCUAACUCCGUGCCAGCAGCCGCGGUAAUACGGAGGGAGCUAGCGUUGUUCGGAAUUACUGGGCGUAAAGCGCGCGUAGGCGGCGAUUCAAGUCAGAGGUGAAAGCCCGGGGCUCAACCCCGGAACUGCCUUUGAAACUAGGUUGCUAGAAUCUUGGAGAGGUCAGUGGAAUUCCGAGUGUAGAGGUGAAUUCGUAGAUAUUCGG